RNAcentral lists this ribosomal RNA (718 nucleotides) under uncultured Escherichia sp. RNAcentral describes it as "bacterial SSU rRNA". It matches the Rfam family "Bacterial small subunit ribosomal RNA", at positions 69 to 776 of the family's 1533-position model. Lineage: Bacteria; Pseudomonadati; Pseudomonadota; Gammaproteobacteria; Enterobacterales; Enterobacteriaceae. The record is from RNAcentral.
GUAACAGGAAGCAGCUUGCUGCUUUGCUGACGAGUGGCGGACGGGUGAGUAAUGUCUGGGAAACUGCCUGAUGGAGGGGGAUAACUACUGGAAACGGUAGCUAAUACCGCAUAACGUCGCAAGACCAAAGAGGGGGACCUUAGGGCCUCUUGCCAUCGGAUGUGCCCAGAUGGGAUUAGCUAGUAGGUGGGGUAAAGGCUCACCUAGGCGACGAUCCCUAGCUGGUCUGAGAGGAUGACCAGCCACACUGGAACUGAGACACGGUCCAGACUCCUACGGGAGGCAGCAGUGGGGAAUAUUGCACAAUGGGCGCAAGCCUGAUGCAGCCAUGCCGCGUGUAUGAAGAAGGCCUUCGGGUUGUAAAGUACUUUCAGCGGGGAGGAAGGGAGUAAAGUUAAUACCUUUGCUCAUUGACGUUACCCGCAGAAGAAGCACCGGCUAACUCCGUGCCAGCAGCCGCGGUAAUACGGAGGGUGCAAGCGUUAAUCGGAAUUACUGGGCGUAAAGCGCACGCAGGCGGUUUGUUAAGUCAGAUGUGAAAUCCCCGGGCUCAACCUGGGAACUGCAUCUGAUACUGGCAGGCUUGAGUCUCGUAGAGGGGGGUAGAAUUCCAGGUGUAGCGGUGAAAUGCGUAGAGAUCUGGAGGAAUACCGGUGGCGAAGGCGGCCCCCUGGACGAAGACUGACGCUCAGGUGCGAAAGCGUGGGGAGCAAACAGG